RNAcentral lists this ribosomal RNA (407 nucleotides) under uncultured bacterium. Its description in RNAcentral is "bacterial SSU rRNA". It matches the Rfam family "Bacterial small subunit ribosomal RNA", at positions 355 to 774 of the family's 1533-position model. The record is from RNAcentral.
UGGGGAAUAUUGCACAAUGGGCGCAAGCCUGAUGCAGCAACGCCGCGUGAGGGACGACGGCCUUCGGGUUGUAAACCUCUUUUGGCAGGGAAGAAGCGAAAGUGACGGUACCUGCAGAAAAAGCACCGGCUAACUACGUGCCAGCAGCCGCGGUGAUACGUAGGGUGCAAGCGUUGUCCGGAAUUAUUGGGCGUAAAGAGCUCGUAGGCGGUUUGUCGCGUCUGCUGUGAAAACCCGAGGCUCAACCUCGGGCCUGCAGUGGGUACGGGCAAACUAGAGUGCGGUAGGGGAGAUUGGAAUUCCUGGUGUAGCGGUGGAAUGCGCAGAUAUCAGGAGGAACACCGAUGCCGAAGGCAGAUCUCUGGGCCGUAACUGACGCUGAGGAGCGAAAGCAUGGGGAGCGAACA